RNAcentral lists this ribosomal RNA (254 nucleotides) under uncultured bacterium. Its description in RNAcentral is "partial 16S ribosomal RNA". It matches the Rfam family "Bacterial small subunit ribosomal RNA", at positions 524 to 776 of the family's 1533-position model. The record is from RNAcentral. RNAcentral also lists the same sequence under 1 other name.
CACGUAGGCACCAAGCGUUGUCCGGAUUUAUUGGGCGUAAAGAGCUCGUAGGCGGUUCGAUAAGUCGGGUGUGAAAACUUUGGGCUCAACCCAAAGCGUGCAUUCGAUACUGUUGUGACUAGAGUUCGGUAGGGGAGUGGGGAAUUCCUAGUGUAGCGGUGAAAUGCGCAGAUAUUAGGAGGAACACCGGUGGCGAAGGCGCCACUCUGGGCCGAAACUGACGCUGAGGAGCGAAAGCGUGGGUAGCAAACAGG